Molecule: long non-coding RNA, 411 nt
Filed under: Homo sapiens (human)
Lineage: Eukaryota; Metazoa; Chordata; Mammalia; Primates; Hominidae
Description: HSALNT0314887
Source: RNAcentral
CCUACCAGAAGGAAGAAACUCCAAACACAUCUGAACAUCAGAAGGAACAAACUCCGGACACGCCGCCUUUAAGAACUCUAACACUCACCGCUAGGAUCCGCGGCUUCAUUCUUGAAGUCAGAGUUCUUCCGUAUGCCAAGCCCUCUGUCACCUGGGGUGACAGAGUGAAUGAAGUGAAGCUAAUCUUUAUGAGCAGAGGUGGAAACUAAGCAAGAUGAAGAGAUUGAAAAGUUAAGGAACAUGCACCAGGCAAGCAGCAAAGACUGCCCUUUUCCAUGAUUUUAUCCACUUCUUCCACUCCGCCUGAAACCUGUCUGCCUGAGCCCUGCCGAGACCCAGGCCCAGUUUUCUGUCUCGGAUUACUUCAGAGUUUGGCUUGGGCCUUUUCUUCAGGAAUCAUGCUGUGACUCG